CCUACGGGUGGCAGCAGUGGGGAAUAUUGGACAAUGGGGGGAACCCUGAUCCAGCCAUGCCGCGUGUGUGAAGAAGGCCCUCGGGUUGUAAAGCACUUUCAGUGAGGAAGAACGCCUGGUGGUUAAUACCCAUCAGGAAAGACAUCACUCACAGAAGAAGCACCGGCUAACUCCGUGCCAGCAGCCGCGGUAAUACGGAGGGUGCGAGCGUUAAUCGGAAUUACUGGGCGUAAAGCGCGCGUAGGUGGCUUGAUAAGCCGGUUGUGAAAGCCCCGGGCUCAACCUGGGAACGGCAUCCGGAACUGUCAAGCUAGAGUGCAGGAGAGGAAGGUAGAAUUCCCGGUGUAGCGGUGAAAUGCGUAGAGAUCGGGAGGAAUACCAGUGGCGAAGGCGGCCUUCUGGACUGACACUGACACUGGGGUGCGAAAGCGUGGGUAGCAAACAGGAUUAGAUACCCUAGUAGUC
This 465-nucleotide ribosomal RNA is filed under the name Vreelandella stevensii. RNAcentral describes it as "partial 16S ribosomal RNA". It matches the Rfam family "Bacterial small subunit ribosomal RNA", at positions 338 to 795 of the family's 1533-position model. Lineage: Bacteria; Pseudomonadati; Pseudomonadota; Gammaproteobacteria; Oceanospirillales; Halomonadaceae. The record is from RNAcentral.